AGACUCGCUACUCUCUGGUGAGCAUCAUCAGCCAUUUGGGUCCCACGGCUGACUUCGGCCAUUACAUCUGCGACGGUGUUCACCGCGUGCAAGGCCUGUUCGACAAGACAGACCACUGGCUCACAUACGACGACCAGCACGUUACAGAGACCACUGGCAAAUCCGUCUGUCACCGGCGGCAGCAAACGGCAUGCCUGCUCUUUUACGAGAAAGAUCAAUAGAUGAGGCUCAUCGUUUGGGGGCAGACCUGCUGCACAGAAAGUAGCACAACUCCAGCAGCAACUCCUGCCUGGUUUUUGCACUGUGGCUCAGUGGUGAUCACUGUCACCUCAGCCUGUCAAUGUCCGGGCUGG
Molecule: long non-coding RNA, 353 nt
Organism: Scatophagus argus
Lineage: Eukaryota; Metazoa; Chordata; Actinopteri; Scatophagidae
Exons: 3
Source: RefSeq, a predicted model, not a curated record